GACGAACGCUGGCGGCAUGCUUAACACAUGCAAGUCGAACGGAAAGGCCCUGCUUUUGUGGGGUGCUCGAGUGGCGAACGGGUGAGUAACACGUGAGUAACCUGCCCUUGACUUUGGGAUAACUUCAGGAAACUGGGGCUAAUACCGGAUAGGAGCUCCUGCUGCAUGGUGGGGGUUGGAAAGUUUCGGCGGUUGGGGAUGGACUCGCGGCUUAUCAGCUUGUUGGUGGGGUAGUGGCUUACCAAGGCUUUGACGGGUAGACGGCCUGAGAGGGUGACCGGCCACAUUGGGACUGAGAUACGGCCCAGACUCCUACGGGAAGCAGCAGUGGGGAAUAUUGCACAAUGGGCGGAAGCCUGAUGCAGCAACGCCGCGUGCGGGAUGACGGCCUUCGGGUUGUAAACCGCUUUCGCCUGUGACGAAGCGUGAGUGACGGUAAUGGGUAAAGAAGCACCGGCUAACUACGUG
Molecule: ribosomal RNA, 468 nt
Filed under: uncultured bacterium
Lineage: Bacteria
Description: partial 16S ribosomal RNA
Rfam family: Bacterial small subunit ribosomal RNA
Source: RNAcentral